Molecule: non-coding RNA, 45 nt
Filed under: Leclercia adecarboxylata
Lineage: Bacteria; Pseudomonadati; Pseudomonadota; Gammaproteobacteria; Enterobacterales; Enterobacteriaceae
Description: Guanidine-II sequence
Rfam family: Guanidine-II riboswitch aptamer (mini-ykkC)
About the family: Simpler in structure and has fewer highly conserved nucleotide positions than the ykkC-yxkD leader.
Source: RNAcentral
CUUACAGGACGACCUGUAAGCGCUUCUCUCAUCGGGGACGGCCCC